This 974-nucleotide long non-coding RNA is filed under the name Homo sapiens (human). RNAcentral describes it as "cancer susceptibility 19". Lineage: Eukaryota; Metazoa; Chordata; Mammalia; Primates; Hominidae. The record is from RNAcentral.
CUGUACAUUGGGAAAGGUGCCGAGACAUGAACUUUGGUCUUCUCUGCAAUCCAUCUGGAGCAUUCACUGACAACAUCGACUUUGAAGUUGCACUGACCUGGCCAGCCCUGCCACUUACCAGGUUGGGCUGUGGCUUGCCUUUUCACUUCUUGUGUCCUGUUUAAGAAAUAUCUGCUAUCCCAAGAUAACACUAACAAAGUUGACCUUAGAAUUGGAGUGCCUGGGUUAGAACCCUGCUGGUACCACCUGCUUACUGCAUGCUUCUGAUGUGAGUUCAGGAGAAGACACUGGCAAGGACAGCAAAGAACAGGAGAACACUCUAGCUUCCCUGAUAGCAUUCAAGGUGCUGUCCAAAGCUCUUGAGUUUCUGCUUUCAAGUGACCCUCAGAAAUUCCUCCAUUCACUGCAGAGGUUCUGUUUCUCCUUGCUUUGUUCUGACUUUACGGCAGAACUAAGCUAAUGAGUUAGUUACUAUGGGUUAUCACUUGGAUUUGAAGAACCAUCAUUUCUAGGCAUUGCUGCUCAGAGUGGGUCUGCCCUCAGGGGAAGCUGUCUAACCAGAGCCUAACCCACUAGGGUUUUAUCAGAACCUAACUGACCUGAGGAAAAGAAAUACUCAACUCCAGCAAGCUCCAGCCUUCCAAAUGGAGGAGGAGAAAACCCAACUCCAGCCCACUUCAGCUAUCUUGUCCCACAUAAAGGGGAAGUGGAAGAAACCUGAGAAGCAGGCAUGAAGUUCACAGUCCAGAGGUACAGACACAUCAGAGUUCAGUAUCUGAUGAAUUAGAUGCAAAAACCUCAACAAAGUAUUAGCAAAUUGAAUUCAACAAUGUAUGAAAAUUAUUACAUGCCAUGACUAAUUGGAAUUUAUCUCAGGUAUACAAGCCACGCUGAACAUCUGAAAAUCAAUUCAUGUGAUCCAUCACAUUAGCAGACUCAAGAAAAAAAACCACAUUAUCAUAUCAGUAGAUGUA